RNAcentral lists this ribosomal RNA (409 nucleotides) under uncultured eukaryote. Its description in RNAcentral is "SSU rRNA". It matches the Rfam family "Eukaryotic small subunit ribosomal RNA", at positions 567 to 973 of the family's 1831-position model. The record is from RNAcentral.
CCAGCACCCGCGGUAAUUCCAGCUCCAAUAGCGUAUAUUAAAGUUGUUGCAGUUAAAAAGCUCGUAGUUGGAUUUCUGGCGGGAGCAGCCAGUCCUGCCUCUUGCGAGGUUGUGCACUAGCGCUGUAUCCGGCCAUCCUUGUGGAGAACGUUUCUGGCAUUAAGUUGUUGGUCUCGGGAUCUGCAUCGUUUACUGUGAAAAAAUUAGAGUGUUUAAAGCAGGCAUUUGCUUGAAUACAUUAGCAUGGAAUAAUAAGAUAGGACUUUGGUGGUCUAUUUUGUUGGUUUGCACGCCAAAGUAAUGAUUAAUAGGGAUAGUUGGGGGUAUUCGUAUUCAAUUGUCAGAGGUGAAAUUCUUGGAUUUAUGGAAGACGAACUACUGCGAAAGCAUUUACCAAGGAUGUUUUCAU